Molecule: ribosomal RNA, 253 nt
Filed under: uncultured bacterium
Lineage: Bacteria
Description: partial 16S ribosomal RNA
Rfam family: Bacterial small subunit ribosomal RNA
Source: RNAcentral
GACGAAGGGGGCUAGCGUUGUUCGGAAUUACUGGGCGUAAAGCGAGUGUAGGUGGUUGUCGUAGUCAGGUGUGAAAGCCUUGAGCUCAACUCAAGAAAUGCACUUGAUACUGGGCAGCUAGAGGACCGGAGAGGAUAGUGGAAUUCCCAGUGUAGUGGUGAAAUACGUAGAGAUUGGGAAGAACACCAGUGGCGAAGGCGGCUAUCUGGACGGUUUCUGACACUAAGACUCGAAAGCGUGGGGAGCAAACAGG